CUCUCCUAAGCCUUUCUCUAGUGUCCCCAUUCCCAUUACUGACUACCAGGGUUUGAGAUGGUCAAAAACAUUUUUGUCCCAGGACUACGCAUUAUAUACGACCUGCAAAGUAGCAUCACAAGUUCAAACUAGUGAAGGUUGUCAAGACAGAAAGUGUGCAAAGUGCAUCUACUUGGUUCUGUGAAGCAGAUCAGCUCUUUCUAUUUGAAGCGACCUGUUAAAUCUAACACACUCUCAGAGGUCAUCAAUGUUCCAGAGAACCCAAUACAAAAUACAUCAAAAGGUCAGUUAUAAGUGGAGUGAACCAAAGCUUGGUGAGAUUUCUCAGUUUUCCAUCAGGCAACUUUUGUGGCUUCGAGAGGUAACAAAUUUCAGAUGUCUGAAAAUCAAAAUCAGCAUCAUGAGCGUUAGAUGUUCAAUUACUUCCCACUAGUUAGCUCUACCUGUCUGAGGCAGAAGGAUAAUGACAUCCAGGUAAGCAUUCAACCCUGAUAUUUAAUAUUAAAAUGAAAUUUAAACAAGUCACAUUGUAACUGGUCUAGAAGAGAGGAAAACAUAUUUCUUUGAUGUACACCAUAAGGGAACAUCUGUUACAGCUGGAUUUUUAUCUGUGUUUCAUGUUCCCGUUCCUCUGUGACAUUCUAAAAACAUUAAUAAAAGUAAACAUUUUUGUUGUGAUCUUUAUAAAUGUCUACUAAACCACCCCAAGAUAAACAUCCUCCACCUCCCACAGAUCUGGCUUUGUGCUGAGGGACAUGAAUGCACAUGUUCACCAGUCUUAUUUUACAUUUUGUUGGUAUAUCAUUGCCUGAGCAAAUUCUCAUCACAGUAGAAUUAUAAACACCCAAGAACUGUGUGAAUUCUGUACAUUUAUUAAUAUAUUCACAUUUACAGUAAAAAAGCACACAAUACAACAGAACUGGCAAUACAACAGAAUACACAAUAUACAAAAGUACACAAAACUGCAACACCAAAAUCUAUUCAGUGUUCUGCUCCGCCAUGUAUUAUUAUUAGUAGUAUUAGUAUUAGUAUUAAAAAAAAUUAAAUCACAGAUUACAGUGAGUUCUGUGAAAAAGCCCUGUACAAGUAUUUUUGUUGUCAAAGGUACAACAGUUGUUCUUAAAGAUUAUAUACCAUUAAUUAUAAUACUAUAUAUUUGUAUUUAUAUAAGUAACAGUAUAAACAACAUGUUCUCGAGUAUAUUACAGCAGUGAGAAAUGUUUGUACGGUAUGUUACCUUUUUCAUUCUGAGAAGGUAAAUAAUUGUAAAAAAGCUACGGGUAAAAAUCACCACAGAUGUUUAAAAACAGAUCCCACAAAAUCUCAAAAUCAGAAAAGGAGUCAGUUCACACCAAUCCAUUAGCAAUUGAAAAGCAUCACACAGUGAUAAGUAAGAGAUAAAUAUUUCACUGAAACUAGAAAUGAAGCGUUAGAAAAAGAAAGAAAGAAAAGAAUCUGCUACAUAUAUGGGAUUAUAUUUUCCCCUUAACUGUACAAUUUCCCCCUUUUUCCUUAAUUUCCUUAAUCUCCCUCUGCCAUGACAGAGACUGACAUAAAGAAAGCUUAUCUUUCUGAGCUUGGGACAGUGUCACAACUACUGUAUGUAUUGGGAUUAUAUUAUUUCAGUUUCUGUGAUCAUUUUGUGAGUGAAUAUUGAUGAAAUUGACAUAUUACAGUUUUUAUUUCUUAUAAACAAAACAGCAACAAUGAGGCCUAAGGCAAGACAAAUCAUGAACAAUACAGCCAAGGCAACUUCAGGUGAACGACCCUUAGGUGAAGUCUUAAGUUUCUCUGUGAAAAGACAAAAAUCAUUGUGUUAUUUAAAGCCCACAUCACAUCUCUUGCAGCAAAUAAAUUAUGUCCUUUGAACUCAGUGAAAGCAAAGUACCUUCAUGACCGUGAGAAUUGGUUGUAGAAACAGGACCUGGUGUGGUGAGAUUAGCAGCAGGCCGCUCUGUCAGAAAAUAAAAUGAAAUGAAAUUUAACAAUGUGCUCUGCAGUCAUACACAAGAGGUAUAUAUCUUAUAAAACUACAAAAGAAAAGUACCUAUGGUCACGCUGAAUUUUGUUUCACCAAUUCCUUCUUUCAUUUGUACCCAAAAUGUAAAUGUUCCACUGUGACUCGCUGAUGCACUUUCAUUUAUGCAAUGAAAUAUAUGACUGUUGCCACUAGUAAAGUUACGCAUUUUACUGCAGUUGAUUUUAGUUUCUCCAUGCUUCCAAGUAUAGCUGUCUAAUUCACAUUUUUUACAUGUAACAUUGCAGGUUAGAUGUACUGGUUUUCCCUCAGUGGUAGCUUGAUUUGCACAGUUUGUUGGAAAUUCUGUAGAAAAAAUAAAAUAAAAUAAAAUAAAAAAAAGGUGAAUAAAGUGUAAUAGCAUCACACACACACACACACACACACACACACACACACACACACACACACAGGACAGAUGUGACUCAUCAUCCACCUUUGGUGUUUGAGCAUGUGGCUCAGUAGUGAAACUUUCAUCUGAAUAAGAAUACAUUUUACUUACGAGCAUAGACUGUGAUAAGCAGGACUUGAAUCAGGACACAGUGAAUAAGACAUGUUCCAGCCAUGACCUCUUUCCUAGAACAACAUCAUAUAUUUCCUAUCACAUUACAGACCAGUUCGUGACAGUGUGUUCAUACCCAUUAUGUCAUGCAUGACUAUUGUUAUUACUGCACUGUCCGGAGCUCGGGUAAGCUUUCAUACUGGACUUUAUAUAAGACAUUAGUUACAUUUUAACUAUGCAUCUAACUUCGAGAUAAGAUACUUAAGCCAACUUCCUUGACAAAACAGCUGUGUGCAGCCUCGUGAUGCGUUAAUAACCAGAGGUUAAGCUGCAAUCGGAAUUUGGGUUUUAAGAAUUAAUUACAUUACAGUUCCAUAUCACUUCGCCAAGAGAAAUGAAAGAACAGAAAUGUACUGUCCACCGCAGCGCACACAUUUAACAACAAACAAAACGACAGAAAAUGUAGAUUUUUCAGAAAUAAGUAAGAAGUAAUUGAAGAUGGGCCACUGAAUUAUUAUUAGUAGUAGUAGGUCUAUCAAUAUUUAUUUGGUCCAUAUUUAUAUUAUCAGCAGGAAACAAGCAAAAAACAAAACAAAACAAAAAUCCUGUGAACUCUCUCUCAUUCUCUCUCUCUCUCAUAGAACUUCUUUAAGUUUUCCUCUUGCUCUGCUUCUAAACAUGCCAAAAAAGCAUUUUAGCAAAUACACCAAGAUAAUGUGCAAUAAUCAUCAUUGCAAAAAAUAAAACAAACAAACAAAUAGUAGUAGUAGUAGUAGUAAUAAUAAUAAUAAUAAUAAUAAUAAUAAUAAUAAUAAUAAUAAAUACACUUUCAGAUAGUAUCUUUAAAUACAGUAUCAUUUUG
Ictalurus punctatus (channel catfish) is the source of this 3381-nucleotide long non-coding RNA. NCBI's taxonomy places the organism in Eukaryota, Metazoa, Chordata, Actinopteri, Siluriformes, Ictaluridae. The record is from Ensembl.